UUUCUCAGCUAGGGGGGCCCUUCGGGGCUGAGAUGGAUCGAGCGGAUCCGACCCUUUGAACCUGAUUCGGACAAUACCGACGUAGGGAAGCUGCCACAGGGUCGA
Molecule: non-coding RNA, 105 nt
Filed under: Desulfovibrio desulfuricans
Lineage: Bacteria; Pseudomonadati; Thermodesulfobacteriota; Desulfovibrionia; Desulfovibrionales; Desulfovibrionaceae
Description: TPP sequence
Rfam family: TPP riboswitch aptamer (THI element)
About the family: Vitamin B(1) in its active form thiamin pyrophosphate (TPP) is an essential coenzyme that is synthesised by coupling of pyrimidine and thiazole moieties in bacteria.
Source: RNAcentral